This 448-nucleotide ribosomal RNA is filed under the name uncultured bacterium. Its description in RNAcentral is "SSU rRNA". It matches the Rfam family "Bacterial small subunit ribosomal RNA", at positions 26 to 518 of the family's 1533-position model. The record is from RNAcentral.
AGAACGAACGCUGGCGGCAGGCUUAACACAUGCAAGUCGAACGCGUGUAGCAAUACACGAGUGGCGCACGGGUGAGUAACGCGUGGAUAUCUGCCUUUUGGUUCGGAAUAACCCCGGGAAACUGGGGCUAAUACCGGAUGGUUCCUACGGGAUAAAGAUUUAUCGCCAAAAGAUGAGUCCGCGUACGAUUAGCUAGUUGGUGAGGUAAUGGCUCACCAAGGCGACGAUCGUUAGCUGGUCUGAGAGGACGAUCAGCCACACUGGGACUGAGACACGGCCCAGACUCCUACGGGAGGCAGCAGUGGGGAAUAUUGGACAAUGGGGGCAACCCUGAUCCAGCCAUGCCGCGUGAGUGAUGAAGGCCUUCGGGUUGUAAAGCUCGUUUUGGCGGGGACGAUGAUGACGGUACCGCAGAAUAAGCCCCGGCUAACUUCGUGCCAGCAGCCGC